UAUCUAAUCCUUUAUAUCGAACUCAUCUUCUUUCUCACGCUUCAAUAUUCUCUGCAAACCCUAGAAACUAAAGUUGUUCUUCCUGUCGCUUUCUUAAUUCUAUUCAAUCAGAACUCAUUCGUAGAUUUAAUCUCCCUGUAAACCCUAUCUGUGCAUACGCAUUUUCUUCAGCAAAGCAACAAUGGUGUCUCAAGUUAGCUUUUUACGAUUGAUUAUGUAGAUUUAAUGUCGCAAUUUCAUCUGAACGUAGUGUUUUGAACAUUUUCAACUCCUUCGGCUGCCGUCUCUAAGGAUCAAAACCCUAUUUUCAACUCCUCAUUGAAUAAAAAAAUUCAAGUAUAAUCAUCAUCUUCUUUCAUUCGGAAUGUUCUGCAAAUGUAAGCAUUAGAUUCGUUUUUUUAUUUCUUCAAUUAGGGCUUCAUUUUCAUAUGAUUAGAUUCUUCAGACCUAAUCAUCUCGAUUCACUGAUUUGUUAUCGUUGGAGACUGAAAUGGUGGGUGCUAGGGUUUUAAACGAGUUCAGUUUCUCUCAGUCCUUUCUCUCUCAAAACCCUAGAUCAAACGAGUGCAAGUUCCUGUACUUCGUUCUCAUAUUCAUCAAUCAAUAACAUAGGUAUGUUUAUUCCUUCUGAUCUUUUAUGUUUUUUGUUCUGUGAUUCCAACCAUAAUAAUCGUGUUUUUUUUUGUUUUUGAUUGUGUAAACCCUAAAUGCUCCAUGUUUACAAACGGUGGUUAAUUCGUUUGUGUUCGGGUCAUACCAUACUCGAUCCAUCCAUUUUAUUUGGAUAUCUGAUUAGGGUUUCUUGGUCUCAUCACAAACUCGAUUUUUUUUCCGAUCCCAUCUGCUUUCUCUCUCUCUCUUUCUCCCUGGCGAUUCAAAAAGACGAAGGCGAUUCAAGUCGAUUGGUGAAGAUUUCGCGAUAUCAAUGAAGAAUCUAACCUGUCAGCCGGUAUACAGGUUAUUAGGAUUUGAUUUUUGAGUUAUUAUUAGUCUAUAUCUUUAUAGUUUUAAUCUGUUUUGACAUUUUAGUGUGAUUUAUUGUAGGUAUAAUAAGGAUAUUAGGAGUUUAAGUCUUAGUUGUGUGUUUUGAGUCCAUCACAAGCUGUCAAUAGAGGUCCGCCGAUAAUCCUUACCACGGUUCUGGUCGAUUAUAGUGUUUGAGAACUUGAAUUUGAGUUCGAUAGUUACAGUUGAAUACUGUCUGAUUUAAAUUCAGUUUGUUUAUUCAAAGUUAAGUUACUUGUCCUAAUUUAUUACAUGAUUUGAGUUAAUAUUAUGUAUUUUUGUGUACCAAGCUGAUGAUCAACACUACAUACCAAGGGCAUUGCUAAUGUAUUUGGAUCCCAGGGUGAUUAAUGGAAUCCAAACCGGUGAAUAUAGAAAUCUUUAUAGUCACCAGAAUAUAUUUAAUUCAAAAGAAGGAGGGGGUGCAAGAAACAAUUGGGCCAGUGGAUAUCAUCAGCAAGAAACUUGAUCAAACAUACAGUGUGUUUCCUAAUCAGAAUGAGAUAAGUGACGUGGUGGUCCAGCCAUACAGACUCUUUUGACUCUCAAACGACUUACACUUAACGCUGAUUGUGUUGUUGUUCUGGAUAACACUGCAUUAAAUAUCUUUCCCUGGUCGUUUCAUCACUGCGAUCCUGUACCCAUAUCUAUGAGAGUUGAGGCCGGGCACCAUCCGAUUAAAAGAUCCACACAAACAGAGUGAUUGCCGGUUGUAGCGCUAUUCUCUGCAGUUUGUACCAUUUAUCCAGGAGAUCUUCAUUUUAAGGCGGUGGAUUUGAGAUUUAUAUAAAUGUACUUGAUUCUUAUAAUUUUUUUAUUCACCUCUUAUGUAUGAAGAUUGUAAAGAGACCACUAUUAUGACCAUAUGUAUAUAAUGUGGUUUUGAUAUGUGGAAAUGUAGAUUCACUUACGGUUGAUGGGUU
This is a long non-coding RNA of Helianthus annuus (common sunflower), 1928 nucleotides long. RefSeq lists it as uncharacterized. Lineage: Eukaryota; Viridiplantae; Streptophyta; Magnoliopsida; Asterales; Asteraceae. The record is from RefSeq and is a predicted model, not a curated record. The transcript has 3 exons.